This 311-nucleotide ribosomal RNA is filed under the name uncultured eukaryote. RNAcentral's name for it is "partial 18S ribosomal RNA". It matches the Rfam family "Eukaryotic small subunit ribosomal RNA", at positions 1470 to 1796 of the family's 1831-position model. The record is from RNAcentral.
CCCCUAGACGUUCUGGGCUGCACGCGCGCUACAAUAAUACGCACAGCGAGUAUCACCGAGCUCGAAAGGGCAAGGUAAACAAUAGAAAAGGUACUGUAAUGGUUAUAGAUCCUUGUAAUUAUUGAUCUUCAACGAGGAAUUCCUAGUAAGUAUGUGUCAUCAUCACGCACUGAUUACGUCCCUGCCCUUCGUACACACCGCCCGUCGCUCCUACCGAUUGGGUGAGCCGAUGAAACUCUCGGAUGUAGGCUAUUCAUAGCCCGCAGAAGAGAUUUGAAUCGUAGCGCUUAGAGGAAGGAGAAGUCGUAACA